This 292-nucleotide ribosomal RNA is filed under the name uncultured prokaryote. RNAcentral's name for it is "partial 16S ribosomal RNA". It matches the Rfam family "Bacterial small subunit ribosomal RNA", at positions 505 to 796 of the family's 1533-position model. The record is from RNAcentral.
GUGUCAGCAGCCGCGGUAAUACGUAGGGUGCGAGCGUUGUGGGGAAUUACUGGGCGUAAAGAGCUCGUAGGUGGAAUGUCGCGUCGUCUGUGAAAGUGCAGCGCUUAACGCUGGGAUUGCAGGCGAUACGGGCUUACUUGAGUGCUGUAGGGGAGACUGGAAUUCCUGGUGUAGCGGUGAAAUGCGCAGAUAUCAGGAGGAACACCAAUGGCGAAGGCAGGUCUCUGGGCAGUUACUGACACUGAGGAGCGAAAGCAUGGGUAGCCAACAGGAUUAGAUACCCCAGUAGUCC